This 348-nucleotide unclassified non-coding RNA is filed under the name Hevea brasiliensis (rubber tree). Lineage: Eukaryota; Viridiplantae; Streptophyta; Magnoliopsida; Malpighiales; Euphorbiaceae. The record is from RNAcentral.
GAAGGACGAUGCGUUGACGAAGGCGGCUUUAGGUUUUAGAGUGUGUGAAGUGGCGGUUUGCUUGAUUUCGUUUUCAGUUAUGGCGUCUGAUAAGACUCAGGGUUGGAGCGGCGACUCCUUUGAUCGUUACAAGGAAUACAGGUACUGCCUCACUGUGAAUAUAAUUGCAUUCGUGUAUGCGGCAUUUCAAGCAUUUGAUCUUGUCUUUACUCUAAUCAAGAAGAACCAUAUGAUACGUCAUCAGUUUCGUUGUUAUUUUGACUUCUUCAUGGAUCAGGUAUUGGCAUAUCUUCUCAUAUCAUCGUCUUCCUCAGCCGCAACGCGUGUUGACGAUUGGCAAUCGAAUUG